CAGUCGCGUAUAUUAAAGUUGUUGCAGUUAAAAUGCUCGUAGUUGAAGUUCGGAUGCAGCAGAGCUUGGAAACGCUGUUAUGGUGCUUCCGUUGCUUUUGCUUGUCCACAGUGCGUUGCAAGUACGUAUGUGCUUGUGCGUGCAUUUUACUUUGAGAAACAUAGGGUGUUCCACGCAUGUUACGGCAUGAAUAUUCCAGCAUGGGAUAAUCUGGUACGACUUCCAAUCUGCCAUUUUGGUUCGUAGGUUGGAAGUAAUGAUUAAUAGGGACUGUCGGGGGCAUUGGUAUUUGACUGUCAGAGGUGAAAUUCUUAGAUUCGUUGAGGACCAACCACUGCGAAAGCAUUUGUCAAGGAUGUCUCCAUUAA
RNAcentral lists this ribosomal RNA (368 nucleotides) under uncultured eukaryote. RNAcentral's name for it is "partial 18S ribosomal RNA". It matches the Rfam family "Eukaryotic small subunit ribosomal RNA", at positions 592 to 976 of the family's 1831-position model. The record is from RNAcentral.